AUUGAACGCUGGCGGCAGGCCUGACACAUGCAAGUCGAACGGUAGCACAGGGGAGCUUGCUCCUCGGGUGACGAGUGGCGGACGGGUGAGUAAUGUCUGGGGAUCUGCCCGAUGGAGGGGGAUAACUACUGGAAACGGUAGCUAAUACCGUAUAACGUCGCAAGACCAAAGUGGGGGACCUUCGGGCCUCACACCAUCGGAUGAACCCAGAUGGGAUUAGCUAGUAGGUGGGGUAACGGCUCACCUAGGCGACGAUCCCUAGCUGGUCUGAGAGGAUGACCAGCCACACUGGAACUGAGACACGGUCCAGACUCCUACGGGAGGCAGCAGUGGGGAAUAUUGCACAAUGGGCGCAAGCCUGAUGCAGCCAUGCCGCGUGUAUGAAGAAGGCCUUCGGGUUGUAAAGCUCUUUCAGCUGGGAAGAUAAUGACGGUACCAGCAGAAGAAGCCCCGGCUAACUCCGUGCCAGCCGCCGCAGUAAAAC
Molecule: ribosomal RNA, 484 nt
Filed under: uncultured bacterium
Lineage: Bacteria
Description: bacterial SSU rRNA
Rfam family: Bacterial small subunit ribosomal RNA
Source: RNAcentral